GGAGGAUUAGCUCAGCUGGGAGAGCACUUGCCUUACAAGCAAGGGGUCGGUGGUUCGAGUCCGCCAUCCUCCACCA
RNAcentral lists this transfer RNA (76 nucleotides) under Filobacillus milosensis. Its description in RNAcentral is "tRNA-Val". It matches the Rfam family "tRNA". Rfam says of the family: Transfer RNA (tRNA) molecules are approximately 80 nucleotides in length. Their secondary structure includes four short double-helical elements and three loops (D, anti-codon, and T loops). The record is from RNAcentral. Lineage: Bacteria; Bacillati; Bacillota; Bacilli; Caryophanales; Bacillaceae.